UGGUUCUGGCAUCGAUGAAGAACGCAGCGAAAUGCGAUAAGUAAUGCGAAUUGCAGAAUUCCAGUGAGUCAUCGAAUCUUUGAACGCACAUUGCGCCCUUUGGCAUUCCGAAGGGCAUGCCUGUUCGAGCGUCAUUAUCACCUCUCAAGCCCCCGGCUUGGUGUUGGACGGUUUGGUCGGGGUAACACCCGACCCCUCCUAAAGACAAUGACGGCGGCCUCGUGGGACCCCCGGUACACUGAGCUUUCCUUAACGGAGCACGUACCGGACUUGAGGGUCUCCAGGCCACGGUCUCUUGAUUCCUGUCGUCACAGACGGGAAGCACCUAUUUUUCAAGGUUGACCUCGGAUCAGGUAGGAAUACCCGCUGA
RNAcentral lists this unclassified non-coding RNA (370 nucleotides) under uncultured fungus. RNAcentral's name for it is "partial contains 5.8S ribosomal RNA and internal transcribed spacer 2". The stretch from base 1 to 134 matches the Rfam family "5.8S ribosomal RNA", at positions 22 to 154 of the family's 154-position model. The record is from RNAcentral. Lineage: Eukaryota; Fungi.